ACAGCAGUCGCCGCGGUAAUACGUAGGUGGCAAGCGUUGUCAGGAAUUAUUGGGCGUAAAGGGCUCGCAGGCGGUUUCUUAAGUCUGAUGUGAAAGCCCCCGGCUCAACCGGGGAGGGUCAUUGGAAACUGGGAAACUUGAGUGCAGAAGAGGAGAGUGGAAUUCCACGUGUAGCGGUGAAAUGCGUAGAGAUGUGGAGGAACACCAGUGGCGAAGGCGACUCUCUGGUCUGUAACUGACGCUGAGGAGCGAAAGCGUGGGGAGCGAACAGGAUUAGAUACCCCGGUAGUCCCUGUCUCUUAUAC
RNAcentral lists this ribosomal RNA (305 nucleotides) under uncultured bacterium. RNAcentral describes it as "partial 16S ribosomal RNA". It matches the Rfam family "Bacterial small subunit ribosomal RNA", at positions 508 to 807 of the family's 1533-position model. The record is from RNAcentral.